This 301-nucleotide ribosomal RNA is filed under the name uncultured bacterium. RNAcentral's name for it is "partial 16S ribosomal RNA". It matches the Rfam family "Bacterial small subunit ribosomal RNA", at positions 509 to 807 of the family's 1533-position model. The record is from RNAcentral.
CAGCCGCCGCGGUAAAACGAAGGGUGCAAGCGUUAAUCGGAAUUACUGGGCGUAAAGCGUGCGUAGGCGGUGAGUUAAGACUGCUGUGAAAUCCCCGGGCUCAACCUGGGAAUGGCAGUGGAUACUGGCUCGCUAGAAUGUGUCAGAGGAUGGUGGAAUUCCCGGUGUAGCGGUGAAAUGCGUAGAGAUCGGGAGGAACAUCAGUGGCGAAGGCGGCCAUCUGGGACAACACUGACGCUGAGGCACGAAAGCGUGGGGAGCAAACGGGAUUAGAUACCCGGGUAGUCCCUGUCUCUUAUAC